RNAcentral lists this signal recognition particle RNA (148 nucleotides) under Homo sapiens (human). Its description in RNAcentral is "Metazoan signal recognition particle RNA". It matches the Rfam family "Metazoan signal recognition particle RNA". Rfam says of the family: The signal recognition particle (SRP) is a universally conserved ribonucleoprotein. It is involved in the co-translational targeting of proteins to membranes. The eukaryotic SRP consists of a 300-nucleotide 7S RNA and six proteins: SRPs 72, 68, 54, 19, 14, and 9. The record is from Rfam by way of RNAcentral. Lineage: Eukaryota; Metazoa; Chordata; Mammalia; Primates; Hominidae.
GCCGGGCGUGGUGGCGCAUGCCUGUAAUCCCAGCUACUCAGGAGGCUGAGACAGGAGAAUUGCUUGAACCCAGGAGGCAGAGGUUGCAGUGAGCCGAGAUCACACCACUGCACUCCAGCCUGGGUGACAGAGUGAAACUCUGUCUCAA